RNAcentral lists this ribosomal RNA (1343 nucleotides) under uncultured bacterium. Its description in RNAcentral is "16S ribosomal RNA". It matches the Rfam family "Bacterial small subunit ribosomal RNA", at positions 28 to 1378 of the family's 1533-position model. The record is from RNAcentral.
GACGAACGCUUGCGGCGUGCUUAACACAUGCAAGUCGAACGGAAAGGCCCUGCUUUUGUGGGGUGCUCGAGUGGCGAACGGGUGAGUAACACGUGAGUAACCUGCCCUUGACUUUGGGAUAACUUCAGGAAACUGGGGCUAAUACCGGAUAGGAGCUCCUGCUGCAUGGUGGGGGUUGGAAAGUUUCGGCGGUUGGGGAUGGACUCGCGGCUUAUCAGCUUGUUGGUGGGGUAGUGGCUUACCAAGGCUUUGACGGGUAGCCGGCCUGAGAGGGUGACCGGCCACAUUGGGACUGAGAUACGGCCCGGACUCCUACGGGAGGCAGCAGUGGGGAAUAUUGCACAAUGGGCGGAAGCCUGAUGCAGCAACGCCGCGUGCGGGAUGACGGCCUUCGGGUUGUAAACCGCUUUCGCCUGUGACGAAGCGUGAGUGACGGUAAUGGGUAAAGAAGCACCGGCUAACUACGUGCCAGCAGCCGCGGUGAUACGUAGGGUGCGAGCGUUGUCCGGAUUUAUUGGGCGUAAAGGGCUCGUAGGUGGUUGAUCGCGUCGGAAGUGUAAUCUUGGGGCUUAACCCUGAGCGUGCUUUCGAUACGGGUUGACUUGAGGAAGGUAGGGGAGAAUGGAAUUCCUGGUGGAGCGGUGGAAUGCGCAGAUAUCAGGAGGAACACCAGUGGCGAAGGCGGUUCUCUGGGCCUUUCCUGACGCUGAGGAGCGAAAGCGUGGGGAGCGAACAGGCUUAGAUACCCUGGUAGUCCACGCUGUAAACGGUGGGUACUAGGUGUGGGGUCCAUUCCACGGGUUCCGUGCCGUAGCUAACGCUUUAAGUACCCCGCCUGGGGAGUACGGCCGCAAGGCUAAAACUCAAAGGAAUUGACGGGGCCCCGCACAAGCGGCGGAGCAUGCGGAUUAAUUCGAUGCAACGCGUAGAACCUUACCUGGGUUUGACAUGGAUCGGGAGUGCUCAGAGAUGGGUGUGCCUCUUUUGGGGUCGGUUCACAGGUGGUGCAUGGCUGUCGUCAGCUCGUGUCGUGAGAUGUUGGGUUAAGUCCCGCAACGAGCGCAACCCUUGUUCACUGUUGCCAGCACGUUAUGGUGGGGACUCAGUGGAGACCGCCGGGGUCAACUCGGAGGAAGGUGGGGAUGACGUCAAGUCAUCAUGCCCCUUAUGUCCAGGGCUUCACGCAUGCUACAAUGGCUGGUACAGAGAGUGGCGAGCCUGUGAGGGUGAGCGAAUCUCGGAAAGCCGGUCUCAGUUCGGAUUGGGGUCUGCAACUCGACCUCAUGAAGUCGGAGUCGCUAGUAAUCGCAGAUCAGCAACGCUGCGGUGAAUACGUUCCCGGG